AAUCAACGCUGGCGGCGUGCCUCAGACAUGCAAGUCGAACGAUUAAACUUCCCUUCGGGGAAGAUAUAAAGUGGCGCACGGGUGAGUAACACGUAGGUAAUGUACCUUUGGGUGGGGAAUAACUUAGGGAAACUUAAGCUAAUACCGCAUAAUGCAGCGGCUCCUUCGGGAGACAGUUGUUAAAGAUUUAUCGCCUAAAGAGCAGCCUGCGGCAGAUUAGCUAGUUGGUAAGGUAACGGCUUACCAAGGCUACGAUCUGUAUCCGACCUGAGAGGGUGGUCGGACACACUGACACUGAAUAACGGGUCAGACUCCUACGGGAGGCAGCAGUCGGGAAUUUUGGGCAAUGGGCGAAAGCCUGACCCAGCAACGCCGCGUGAAGGAUGAAGUCUUUCGGGAUGUAAACUUCGUAAGAAUAGGAAGAAUAAAUGACGGUACUAUUUGUAAGAUCCGGCUAACUACGUG
RNAcentral lists this ribosomal RNA (465 nucleotides) under uncultured bacterium. RNAcentral's name for it is "partial 16S ribosomal RNA". It matches the Rfam family "Bacterial small subunit ribosomal RNA", at positions 32 to 507 of the family's 1533-position model. The record is from RNAcentral.